GACGAGAAGACCCUAUUGAGUUUUAAUUUUCAUACUAGUAACGUUUUAUAUUUGUAUAUAAAUUAUACUAAUAUAAAUUUUAGUUGGGGCAACUGAGGAGUAAAAAAUAAUCUCCUUAUUAUACACCAAAAUGAUAAUUAGAUGAUCCUUUUGUAAAGAUUAAUAAAUAUAAUUACCACAGGGAUAACAGCGUAAC
RNAcentral lists this ribosomal RNA (196 nucleotides) under Nucula atacellana. Its description in RNAcentral is "partial 16S ribosomal RNA". Lineage: Eukaryota; Metazoa; Mollusca; Bivalvia; Nuculida; Nuculidae. The record is from RNAcentral.